RNAcentral lists this ribosomal RNA (675 nucleotides) under Agrobacterium tumefaciens. RNAcentral's name for it is "bacterial SSU rRNA". It matches the Rfam family "Bacterial small subunit ribosomal RNA", at positions 72 to 790 of the family's 1533-position model. Lineage: Bacteria; Pseudomonadati; Pseudomonadota; Alphaproteobacteria; Hyphomicrobiales; Rhizobiaceae. The record is from RNAcentral.
GCCCCGCAAGGGGAGUGUGCAGACGGGUGAGUAACGCGUGGGAACAUACCCUUUCCUGCGGAAUAGCUCCGGGAAACUGGAAUUAAUACCGCAUACGCCCUACGGGGGAAAGAUUUAUCGGGGAAGGAUUGGCCCGCGUUGGAUUAGCUAGUUGGUGGGGUAAAGGCCUACCAAGGCGACGAUCCAUAGCUGGUCUGAGAGGAUGAUCAGCCACAUUGGGACUGAGACACGGCCCAAACUCCUACGGGAGGCAGCAGUGGGGAAUAUUGGACAAUGGGCGCAAGCCUGAUCCAGCCAUGCCGCGUGAGUGAUGAAGGCCUUAGGGUUGUAAAGCUCUUUCACCGGAGAAGAUAAUGACGGUAUCCGGAGAAGAAGCCCCGGCUAACUUCGUGCCAGCAGCCGCGGUAAUACGAAGGGGGCUAGCGUUGUUCGGAAUUACUGGGCGUAAAGCGCACGUAGGCGGAUAUUUAAGUCAGGGGUGAAAUCCCAGAGCUCAACUCUGGAACUGCCUUUGAUACUGGGUAUCUUGAGUAUGGAAGAGGUAAGUGGAAUUCCGAGUGUAGAGGUGAAAUUCGUAGAUAUUCGGAGGAACACCAGUGGCGAAGGCGGCUUACUGGUCCAUUACUGACGCUGAGGUGCUAAAGCGUGGGGAGCAAACAGGAUUAAAUACCCUGG